UACGCAGGUGGCAAGCGUUGUUCGGAUUUACUGGGCGUACAGGGAGCUCAGGCGGUUGGGUAAGCCCUCCGUGAAAUCUCCGGGCCUAACCCGGAAAGUGCGGAGGGGACUGCUCAGCUAGAGGAUGGGAGAGGAGCGCGGAAUUCCCGGUGUAGCGGUGAAAUGCGUAGAGAUCGGGAGGAUGGCCGGUGGCGAAGGAGGCGCUCGGGAACAGUUAUGACUAUGAGGCUCGAAAGCGUGGGGAGCAAACAGG
RNAcentral lists this ribosomal RNA (253 nucleotides) under uncultured bacterium. Its description in RNAcentral is "partial 16S ribosomal RNA". It matches the Rfam family "Bacterial small subunit ribosomal RNA", at positions 524 to 776 of the family's 1533-position model. The record is from RNAcentral.